This 1639-nucleotide ribosomal RNA is filed under the name human gut metagenome. Its description in RNAcentral is "bacterial LSU rRNA". It matches the Rfam family "Bacterial large subunit ribosomal RNA", at positions 1289 to 2925 of the family's 2925-position model. The record is from RNAcentral.
UGAGAAUGCUGGCAUGAGUAACGAGAGAGGGGCGAGAAACCCCUCCGCCGUAAGCCUAAGGGUUCCUGGGCAAGGCUAAUCCUCCCAGGGUCAGUCGGGAGCUAAGGCGAGGCCGAGAGGCGUAGCCGAUGCGCAACAGGCGGACAUUCCUGUACCGCCUGCGGACCGCUAUCACCGACGGGGUGACGGAGAAGGGUAGCCGAGCGGGGUUCUGGACGUCCCCGUGAAAGCGCGUAGGGAGCAUCGCAUGGAAAUCAGCGGUGCACGUAUCCUGAGACGCGAGACGAAAGCUUAUGCUGAAGUCGGCGAGCCCAUGCUUCCGAGAAAAACCUCUAGGAAGGGACGCAGGCGCCCGUACCAAAACCGACACAGGUGGGCAGGUAGAGCAUACCGAGGCGAUCGGGAGAACCAUGGUUAAGGAACUCGGCAUACUGACUCCGUAACUUCGGGAGAAGGAGUGCCCCUGGCGGUGGAGGGACUAGCUCCCCGAGCGGCCGGGGGUCGCAGCGAAACGGCCCAAGCGACUGUUUAUCAAAAACACAGGACUCUGCAAAGCCGUAAGGCGACGUAUAGGGUCUGACGCCUGCCCGGUGCUGGAAGGUUACGCGGAUGGGUUAGCGCAAGCGAAGCUCUGAAGCCAAGCCCCAGUAAACGGCGGCCGUAACUAUAACGGUCCUAAGGUAGCGAAAUUCCUUGUCGGGUAAGUUCCGACCUGCACGAAUGGCGUAACGAUUUGGGCGCUGUCUCAACCAUGGACCCGGUGAAAUUGUAUUAUUCGUGAAGAUGCGAAUUACCUGCGGAAGGACGGAAAGACCCCGUGAACCUUUACUGCAGCUUGACAUUGAUCGUUGGCUCGGCGCGUAGAGGAUAGGCAGGAGGCUUCGAAGCGGGGACGCCAGUUCCCGUGGAGCCGGCCUUGGAAUACUGCCCUCGUCGCGUCGGCGAUCUAACCCCCGGCCGUGAUCCGGCGGGGGGACCGUGUCAGGCGGGUAGUUUGACUGGGGCGGUCGCCUCCCAAAACGUAACGGAGGCGCGCAAAGGUCCGCUCAGAACGGUCGGCAACCGUUCGCAGAGCGCAAGAGUACAAGCGGGCUUGACUGCGAGGCCCACAAGCCGAGCAGAGACGAAAGUCGGUUCUAGUGAUCCGGCGGCACAGAGUGGAAUGGCCGUCGCUCAACGGAUAAAAGGUACUCCGGGGAUAACAGGCUGAUCUUGCCCAAGAGUCCACAUCGACGGCAAGGUUUGGCACCUCGAUGUCGGCUCAUCGCAUCCUGGGGCUGGAGUAGGUCCCAAGGGUUGGGCUGUUCGCCCAUUAAAGCGGUACGCGAGCUGGGUUCAGAACGUCGUGAGACAGUUCGGUCCCUAUCCUCCGCAGGCGCAAGAGGAUUGAGGAGGUCUGCCCCUAGUACGAGAGGACCGGGGUGGACGGACCUCUGGUGCAGCAGUUGUCGACCAACGGCACGGCUGCCUAGCUACGUCCGGCACGGAUAACCGCUGAAAGCAUCUAAGUGGGAAGCCGUCUCCAAGAUGAGUCCUCUUUCCGGUAAGGGCCCAGGCAGAACACCUGGUCGAUAGGCCGCAGGUGCAAGGCGUGCGAGCGCCUCAGCCGAGCGGUACUAAUAGCCCGAGCUCUUCUUCC